CGAUGUCGACUUGGAGGUUGUGCCCUUGAGGCGUGGCUUCCGGAGCUAACGCGUUAAGUCGACCGCCUGGGGAGUACGGCCGCAAGGUUAAAACUCAAAUGAAUUGACGGGGGCCCGCACAAGCGGUGGAGCAUGUGGUUUAAUUCGAUGCAACGCGAAGAACCUUACCUACUCUUGACAUCCAGAGAACUUACCAGAGAUGCAUUGGUGCCUUCGGGAACUCUGAGACAGGUGCUGCAUGGCUGUCGUCAGCUCGUGUUGUGAAAUGUUGGGUUAAGUCCCGCAACGAGCGCAACCCUUAUCCUUUGUUGCCAGCGGUCCGGCCGGGAACUCAAAGGAGACUGCCAGUGAUAAACUGGAGGAAGGUGGGGAUGACGUCAAGUCAUCAUGGCCCUUACGAGUAGGGCUACACACGUGCUACAAUGGCGCAUACAAAGAGAAGCGACCUCGCGAGAGCAAGCGGACCUCAUAAAGUGCGUCGUAGUCCGGAUUGGAGUCUGCAACUCGACUCCAUGAAGUCGGAAUCGCUAGUAAUCGUAGAUCAGAAUGCUACGGUGAAUACGUUCCCGGGCCUUGUACACACCGCCCGUCACACCAUGGGAGUGGGUUGCAAAAGAAGUAGGUAGCUUAACCUUCGGGAGGGCGCUUACCACUUUGUGAUUCAUGACUGGGGUGAAGCU
This 680-nucleotide ribosomal RNA is filed under the name Enterobacter ludwigii. RNAcentral's name for it is "bacterial SSU rRNA". It matches the Rfam family "Bacterial small subunit ribosomal RNA", at positions 807 to 1487 of the family's 1533-position model. The record is from RNAcentral. Lineage: Bacteria; Pseudomonadati; Pseudomonadota; Gammaproteobacteria; Enterobacterales; Enterobacteriaceae.